RNAcentral lists this ribosomal RNA (566 nucleotides) under uncultured bacterium. Its description in RNAcentral is "partial 16S ribosomal RNA". It matches the Rfam family "Bacterial small subunit ribosomal RNA", at positions 355 to 914 of the family's 1533-position model. The record is from RNAcentral.
UGGGGAAUUUUGGACAAUGGGCGAAAGCCUGACCCAGCAAUGCCGCGUGUGUGAAGAAGGCCUUCGGGUUGUAAAGCACUUUUGUCCGGAAAGAAAUCCUUGGCUCUAAUACAGUCGGGGGAUGACGGUACCGGAAGAAUAAGCACCGGCUAACACGUGCCAGCAGCCGCGGUAAUACGUAGGGUGCAAGCGUUAAUCGGAAUUACUGGGCGUAAAGCGUGCGCAGGCGGUUUGCUAAGACCGAUGUGAAAUCCCCGGGCUCAACCUGGGAACUGCAUUGGUGACUGGCAGGCUAGAGUAUGGCAGAGGGGGGUAGAAUUCCACGUGUAGCAGUGAAAUGCGUAGAGAUGUGGAGGAAUACCGAUGGCGAAGGCAGCCCCCUGGGCCAAUACUGACGCUCAUGCACGAAAGCGUGGGGAGCAAACAGGAUUAGAUACCCUGGUAGUCCACGCCCUAAACGAUGUCAACUAGUUGUUGGGGAUUCAUUUCCUUAGUAACGUAGCUAACGCGUGAAGUUGACCGCCUGGGGAGUACGGUCGCAAGAUUAAAACUUCAAAUGAAUUGAC